AGUGAACGCUGGCGGUAGGCCUAACACAUGCAAGUCGAACGGCAGCACAGAGGAGCUUGCUCCUUGGGUGGCGAGUGGCGGACGGGUGAGGAAUACAUCGGAAUCUACUCUGUCGUGGGGGAUAACGUAGGGAAACUUACGCUAAUACCGCAUACGACCUACGGGUGAAAGCAGGGGAUCUUCGGACCUUGCGCGAUUGAAUGAGCCGAUGUCGGAUUAGCUAGUUGGCGGGGUAAAGGCCCACCAAGGCGACGAUCCGUAGCUGGUCUGAGAGGAUGAUCAGCCACACUGGAACUGAGACACGGUCCAGACUCCUACGGGAGGCAGCAGUGGGGAAUAUUGGACAAUGGGCGCAAGCCUGAUCCAGCCAUACCGCGUGGGUGAAGAAGGCCUUCGGGUUGUAAAGCCCUUUUGUUGGGAAAGAAAUCCAUCUGGUUAAUACCCGGGUGGGAUGACGGUACCCAAAGAAUAAGCACCAGCUAACUUCGUGCCAGCAGCCGCAGUAA
Molecule: ribosomal RNA, 506 nt
Filed under: uncultured bacterium
Lineage: Bacteria
Description: partial 16S ribosomal RNA
Rfam family: Bacterial small subunit ribosomal RNA
Source: RNAcentral